UAAGGAAGUAGCUCUUCCUUAUCGGGUAUGGCCGAAUAAGUCCGCCACGGACUAAGGCACAGGGCACGCAAACCAAGAACCGACUGGUGGAGGAAUGCGUGACUGGUAACGCGUCUACACUGUAGUGGCAUAACGCGUUUGGAGGUAUACAGCAAGGCCUCCUACCCACCUU
Molecule: non-coding RNA, 172 nt
Filed under: unclassified sequences
Description: manA RNA
Rfam family: manA RNA
About the family: manA RNA has been located in 5'UTR regions of genes of mannose or fructose metabolism. Has been proposed as a cis-regulatory element and as a riboswitch candidate for his complex secondary structure.
Source: RNAcentral